UGCAUAGGGGCCAAAGGUUUCUUUUAGCCUUGAAGACCCAGUGAUGAGCACAUGCUCUGAAUUAUUCUCCAAAUUAACUGCUUCCUGGGAGAAGAGCAGUACUGGCCAUCCAAUGGUGUGUCAAACAGGGCUCGGAAAGCUGCACCUGUGAGACUUAGGGGGUCAUCUUCUUAGGUCUAAGUUAUAGGGAGGCAGGUUAUAUACAGCUCAAAAUAAGAAGCCGCCUUCUAAAAGUCACAGGUGUCUUGGGAUGGAAUGGGCUGCCUCAUAAGGUAGUGAGUCCACCAGCACCAAAGGUAUGCAAGCAGAGCCUGAGCCUGGCUAGAGGAAUUGCUAUUUUAUGCAGGAGACUGGAGGCUACAUGAAAUGAUCACUCAGGCUCCUUCCACUUGUGAGAUUCUAUUUCAUGAUUUCCAAAAGACACUGGGAAUCCCACACGCCCCUACAAAGGGCCUCCAAGCAGGUUUGGAAGUUCUCACGGGACCUGAAGCCCUGACUGAAGACCAGACCUCCCUCCUCCCAGAGCACUUUCUUCCACUGAGCAGGCAGCCGCUGGAGCCCCAUGCAGGAAGCUGGGAGGAAGGAAGCAAGCCUGGAGGUCCAGCCAAGGGCGGGAACCCCACCAGGCGGCAGGGUGGAGGAUGGCACUGCCCCAGCACCCUCACCCAGAGUCGCUGAGUCCCACAGCCCUCUCAUCCUGAAAGCCCUUGGUUUGGAAGGAGAAAGAGCCAAAGCCAAGGGCCUGGGCUGAACCAUAAAUCAGAAGCAGGUGUCCUUUGAAGUUCGUUUAUUCUCCAAGGGAGGUAAAGCAAGAGGCAUGUGAGGGCCUCGCAGAAUACUGUGACAUUACCAAAAAAAAUCCAUCAGGAAACCAGCCCAGAAAGCCUCAUCCUUAAAGAUCUCUCAAAUGAAUAGCAUCAUGCCCAUUUUUCAUUAUGACCCAGCACUGAUGGUAAUGGAAAGGGUGCCCACGCAGCUGAUGGCCAUAAAGCACCGACCCUUCCCUCCUAGUAAUUGUGUGAUCAAAUUAUGAAGGCCUCUGAGCCAGCACAUCUUAGCUUUUAUGAUGCGGUGGAAGACCUGUUGAUCCCUGCUGGGGGAGGAAGCAAAGGACCCUGGGAGGCAUCUCUGGCUACCAUCUGCAAGGGAUGCUCUUCACCCCUCUCUCCUUUCCCUUUGAGUUGUCAGAGGCAGAAGAUCCUCUUUGACAUGCAGAGGGCAGCAUUUUCUGGAUUGGCAUUGCCAGUCGUUUUGCAGCAGCCUUGUAGAGAUGAGGAACCCUGAGCUUUACAUUGUUUCCUAUCAUCAUGCAUUCCCAUUUGUAAUAGGGAAUGUGCCCUCUCCUGGAGUGAUUUCUUCUACUUCCCUGGAUACGUUUAGAUCUCCGAAAUCUGUGAACACAAAUUGAGGUCACAUUUCCAUUAAUGCCCUAAGA
RNAcentral lists this long non-coding RNA (1435 nucleotides) under Equus caballus (horse). RNAcentral's name for it is "lncRNA (ENSECAG00000056318.1)". The record is from RNAcentral. Lineage: Eukaryota; Metazoa; Chordata; Mammalia; Perissodactyla; Equidae.